This is a long non-coding RNA of Anas platyrhynchos (mallard), 2011 nucleotides long. RefSeq lists it as uncharacterized. The record is from RefSeq and is a predicted model, not a curated record. Lineage: Eukaryota; Metazoa; Chordata; Aves; Anseriformes; Anatidae.
UAUUAGGAGAAUCUACUUCUCCAAGUAUGCUCUUCUCACAGAUGAGAAUUGGCAACAUCAGAGGUUUACAGGAAGAGGUGCUGUUAGAGUGCUUAGUAAAGAAUAUUUAUGGGGUGGGAGCGUGGAUUUUUUAUUUACCUCAUUGGCAGUUGCCAGCUGAACUGGCCUCAAAGUACUGAAUCUGGAAAUCAAAGCAAUGGGAUCAAGAGAACUGGAGGCGAGAGGUGCGUGUGCCUAUAACACUACCUGACUGCAAUGCCACUGAAGCCCUAAGCACGGCAGAGCAACUGGCUCCCAAAGGCAGUGCGUUGUGUCCCUGGCAUCCUCAAGUCAAACAGCAGCAUUUUAGGAUUUUCCAGACAAAGAUUGCAAGCUGCACAGGUGUGGGGAAACCUGCAGCUGAGCAACACCCUGCACAAAAAGGAGCCAGAUGGCCUGGGGAUAUCCUCACAAAGUCAGCUUGAUAAGGGAUGAUGGGGGCAGCUGUGAGAGGAGGUACCAGUGCAGCAGCUGAUGUUUUCCAACCAAGUACAAAGAAAUGGCCAUUGUGAGAGCAACGAGGGAGAAGCCCAGAGAAAUGCCCACACUUCAUCCUCCGUCCUUCCUCCUAGUGAUGUCAGAAGAAAAGAAAAGUGUGUAACAGGCAGAAAAAUCAAAACUAUCGACAUUGCUGCUGAUUUCAGCAGUGACUCAUCCGCAGCCUCACCCGGUGAGAGCUCACUUUCAUCGCUCAUUAUAAAACAAUAUCUCCUAAUGGGGGUGCAGGGGGGGUGCAGUGCUCUGUUCUGCCAACAAGAAGACUUUUACCCUGGAAAUCUGUGAGUGUAAUUUGCCGUCAGGCAUGCCCGCCCGCACGCACACGCAGGUAAUGAUGGUGUUAGCCGCCUGACAAAUUGCGGGGCCUUGCACGUUUGACCUCCUCCCCUGCCCUGCCUGCAGUAUCACAUCUCCCAGGGGGUUCGUCCUGACAUCCCACCCUGGAACGGCUUCCAGACGCUGCCAUUUUGGGUAUCCUGCUUAUUUGUUUCUUUCCAAAGAUCCUCCCUGCUCUCACCUCUGGGGUUGCUCUGUCUCGACUGCCACUGCACCCAGGGAUCGGUUUUGUGCCAGGCCUUGCUGAAGGAUCAAAUACCUCAUCGUCUGUCUGACUGGAAAUGUGAACUUUAUAUCGAUGGUGGAAAGGAGAGCUUCAAAGCAUUCUGAAGAGAUGUUUAGCUUUCGCCUUUAGCCCUGAAUAUUCUCCAAAUAUUGGACUUCAAAGCUGAGACCUUCUUCUACGUACAGCAAAGUUAUUCUGGACAUCUUCUGAAUACCUCUGGAUUGAUUAAGUUUAAUCUUCCUUUCCAUCCUAGCCCUGUACUGUUCACCUUACAGUAGCUAGGGCUUGAGAAGGAGGGAGAUCUAAACCCAGCCCCAAUAAUAUUUUUAAAGUGUUCACAAGCCUUGCCAAAAUAGUUUUACUGUAAAAAGUGCAGUGCAUAAGUCUCUGAUUCAGCACAUCUUUAUCUUCUCCUGGAUUUUAGUACAAGUUAUGCACUUAACUGCUGAAUGGUAAUAGAUUAAAACACAUGUUUAAACACUUUGCUGAAUAGUGUCCAUACAAAAUGCAUGAUGUUGUGCUGCAAGGUUUGUUCUUCACCCACUCAGGGCUGAAAGGACACAAAUUCUCUGGUGGCUGUGGUGCUUGUGACUAAAGAAAGCUUCUCCCCUUCAGCCGGGUAAACAGCUUCGCACCGCGUUAUCUGAUGUCCUCGUGCUCUCUUUCAAGGCUGUUUGUUUAUUUGGGCCUCUUUAUCGCAGCAUUCAGACAAAAUACUUAAUCAGAUAUGUUUGUAUCCUAGCAUGGUAGUAAAUGACCUCAAAUUACAGUGUUAUGUUUUCAAAUUUUCUGAUGUGAAGAUAUUCCCAUUGCAGGAACACAUUAGUAGGAGUCAGUCCUUGACAUAUAUUCUAAUUAGUAGAUCGUGAUUUUAAUUGCUAAACUUUAAUAAAUGUCAGUGUUGGCCCCGCU